Molecule: long non-coding RNA, 5251 nt
Filed under: Lactuca sativa (garden lettuce)
Lineage: Eukaryota; Viridiplantae; Streptophyta; Magnoliopsida; Asterales; Asteraceae
Description: long non-coding RNA (LSAT_LNC009685)
Source: RNAcentral
AAAUAACAAGAAUAAUUUAUAAAUACGUCUCAAGAAAUAGAACACACACCAAUCAUUAUUAAUAACGAAGAAAAUGAAUCGGGAUACACUUUUGAUGCUCUAAUUAAUAAAAAUAUUAUUAAUAAAGAUGCUAUAAGAAAAUUAAAUUUUAUACUAUCUGAAAAACAUAAUUUUAGAUAUAACUCAUUGAGAGAAGAUUAUAAAUGAAUGAUGCGGUGGAUUAUAUUGAUGCGGGAUUAUGUUGAAUGAUUGGAUGAUUAUGUGAAUAAUUUUGAUAGGGCUCUGCUAUUCAGAAAUAGAACAACUAUUUCAACAGAGAAGACAAUUGAGAUCAACUCAAGUCUUAAACAUUCAAACUUAACUUGUUUAUUUCAUAUGGGCAAAGGCCCUAUUUAUAGGCUCAAGAGAGCCGGUUACAAUUAUUGUUGCAAUCAUUUGAUUGGAAUACGACAUACAUAUGUACAUUAUAGCCCCUAGACUAUUGAGGGUUACACACUUUAUGUUACAUCACAAAUAAUACAACCGACACUUAAUAAUUAUCCUACCAACACUUCUAUUUAAUUACGUAAAAAUAACAAUCCUUUAUUUAAGACACAUGUCCUUUCAACGUGGAAAGGAUUGUUAUUUUUACGUAAUUAAAUAGAAGUGUCGGUAGGAUAAUUAUUAAGUGUCGAUUGUAUUAUUUGUGAUGUAACAUAAAGUGUGUAACCCUCAAUAGUCUAGGGGCUAUAAUGUAAAUAUGUAUAUCGUAUUGCAAUCAAACGAAUGCAACAAUAAUUGUAAUCGGCUCUCUUGAGCAUCAAAAGUGUAUCCCACUUCAUUUUCUUCGUUAUUAAUAAUGAUUGGCGUAUUUUCUAUUUCUUGAGACAUAUUUAAUAAAUUAUUCUUGUUAUUUAUCUUCAAGAUUUUUUAUUUGUUAAUAUUUAAACUUGAAAAACUCAUGAUCAUAACUUUUAGAAACAAAAUGAUAAUUUAUUUUUUCUUUCAAAGUUACGAUUUAUAAAUUCUAAUAAGAUGUUGAUGGUGGGGUUUUUUAAUACUAUUAUAUUUAUGAUGCAGUUAGAGAAUUAAAAACCUCAUUGACAUAUGAAAUGCGUUUCUAACUUCUUGGUACAUAGUCAUAAUUGUAAAAAACCUUCUACCGACAUAUGUUUAUAGGUGGAUANUAUUUGAUUUUAAUAAUGAGUUUAUGAUAAUAACUUAUAACGAUGAAUGUUUGUAACGAUGAAUAUUUAUAAGAAUAUAUAUAUGAUGAUGCAUGAUGAACAUAUAUUCAUAUGAACGAAAGAUUUAAUAUUCAAAAUAAUAGGAAGAACGUUACUUAGCUCUGAUACCAAAUUUAAAAUAACAUGAUGAAGGAUUAAUUGCUCUCAUACCAAAUUUAAAGACAUGACGGAAUUAAUAAAGAUUAAGAGAAGAUUAUACAUGAAUGAUGCGGUGGAUUAUAUUGAUGAUGGAUUAUGUUGAAUAAUUGGAUGGUUAUGUGGAUAAUUUGGAUAGAACUCUGCUAUUCAGAAAUAUAACAACUAUUUCAACAGAGAAGACAAUUGAGAUCAACUCAAGUCUUAAACACUCAAACUUAACUUGUUUAUUUCAUAUGGGCAAAGGCCCUAUUUAUAGGCUCAAGAGAGCCGGUUACAAUUAUUGUUGUAAUCGUUUGAUUGCAAUACGACAUACAUAUUUACAUUAUAGCCCCAUAGACUAUUGAGGGCUACACACUUUAAGUUUGGCAAUUACAAUUACAUCAAUUUCACCCAUACCUCAAGUAUAUCAAAAGUGCCAACAACCACAUAGCAGACACACUAACAAGUGAAUGGAAGCCAUCAUAAAGCAACCCAGAUAAGAAGCAACACUAUUCAUGGAAGACUAACACAAGAAUUAAAAAAUAUCUGCUUUUUCGGAGGCGGGAGGAAUGACGUAAGCAAUGACAUAGAAAGCCAUUAUUGAAGAUUAACGGGAGGAAUAACGUAAGCAAUGACGUAAAAAGCCAUUAUUGAAGACACCUAAUGACGUAAGCAAUGAAGUAAAAAGCCAUUAUUGUAGACACCUGUCUUUUCAAUGUGGAAGGGAUUAUUUUAUUUUUAAUUAUGUAAAGUGUUGGUAGAAUUAUUUGUAUUUGUCGGUAGGAUAAUUAUUAAGUGUCGGUUGUAUUAUUUUUGAUGUAACACAAAGUGUGUAACCCUCAAUAGUCUAGGGGGCUAUAAUGUAAAUAUGUAUAUCGUAUUGCAAUCAAACGAUUGCAACAAUAAUUGUAACCGACUCUCUUGAGCCUAUAAAUAGGGCCUUUGCCCAUAUGAAAUAAACAAGUUAAGUUUGAGUGUUUAAGACUUGAGUUGAUCUCAAUUGUCUUCUCUGUUGAAAUAGUUGUUAUAUUUCUGAAUAGCAGAGUUCUAUCCAAAUUAUCCACAUAACCAUCCAAUUAUUCAACGUAAUCCAUCAUCAAUAUAAUCCACUGCAUCAUUCAGGUAUAAUCUUAUCUUAAUCUUUCUUAAUUCCGUCAUGUUGUUAAAUUUGAUAUCAGAGCAAUUAAUCCGUCAUCAUGUUAUUUUGAAUUUGGUAUCAGAGCUAAGUAACGUUCUUACUAUUAUUUUGAAUGUUAAAUCUUUCAUUCAUAUGAAUAUUAAUCGUUACAAACAUUCAUCGUUAUAAGUUAUAAACUCAUUAUUAAAAUCAAAUAUUAUUAUCCACCUACAAUUUAAACAUAUGUCGGUAGAAGUUUUUUUACAAUUAUGACUACGUACCAAGAAGUUAGAAAUACAUUUCAUAUGUCAAAAAAGUUUUUAAUUCUCUGACUGCAUCAUAAAUAUAAUAGUAUUAAAAACCCCACCAUCAACAUCUUAUUAGAAUUUAUAAAUCAUAACUUUGAGAAAAAAACUUAUCAUUUUGUUUCUAAAAAUUAUAAUCAUAAGUUUUUCAAAUUUAAAUAUUAACAAAUAAAAAAUCUUGAAAAUAAAAUAACAAGAAUAAUUUAUAAAUAUGUCUCAAGAAAUAGAACAUACACCAAUCAUUAUUAAUAACGAAGAAAAUGAAUCGGGAUACACUUUUGAUGCUCUAAUUAAUAAAAAUAAUAUUAAUAAAGAUGCUAUAAGAAAAUUAAAUUUUACACUAUCUGAAAAACAUAAUUUUAAAUAUAACUCAUUGAGAGAAGAUUAUACAUGAAUGAUGUCGUGGAUUAUAUUGAUGCUGGAUUAUGUUGAAUGAUUGGAUGAUUAUGUGGAUAAUUUGGAUAGGGCUCUGCUAUUUAGAAAUAGAACAACUAUUUCAACAGAGAAGACAAUUGAGAUCAACUCAAGUCUUAAACACUUUCAUAUGGGCAAAGGCCUAUUUAUAGGNAUCAAGAGAGUCGGUUACAAUUAUUGUUGCAAUCGUUUGAUUGCAAUACGACAUACAUAUUUACAUUAUAGCCCCCUAAACUAUUGAGGGUUACACACUUUAUGUUACAUCACAAAUAAUACAACCGACACUUAAUAAUUAUCCUACCGACACUUCUAUUUAAUUACGUAAAAAUAACAAUCCUUAAUUUAAGACACAUGUCCUUUCAACGUGGAAGGGAUUGUUAUUUUUACGUAAUUAAAUAGAAGUCUCGGUAGGAUAAUCAUUAAGUGUCCGUUGUAUUAUUUGUGAUGUAACAUAAUGUGUGUAACCCACAAUAGUUUAGGGGGCUAUAAUGUAAAUAUGUAUGUCGUAUUGCAAUCAAACGAUUGCAACAAUAAUUGUAACCGGCUCUCUUGAGCAUCAAAAGAGUAUUCCAGUUCAUUUUCUUCGUUAUUAAUAAUGAUGGGUGUAUAUUUUAUUUCUUGAGACAUAUUUAAUAAAUUAUUCUUGUUAUUUUGUCUUCAAGAUUUUUUCUUCGUUAAUAUUUAAACUUGAAAAACUCAUGAUUAUAAUUUUUAAAAAUGAUAAUUUAUUUUUUCUUCCAAAGUUACGAUUUAUAAAUUCUAAUAAGAUGUUGAUGGUGGGGUUUUUUAAUACUAUUAUAUUUAUGAUGAAGUUAGAGAACUAAAAACCUCUUUGACAUAUGAAAUGUGUUUCUAACUUCUUGGUACAUAGUCAUAAUUGUAAAAAACCUUCUACCGACAUAUGUUUAAAUUGUAGGUGGAUAGUAGUAUUUGAUUUUAAUAAUGAGUUUAUGAUAAUAACUUAUAACGAUGAAUGUUUGUAACGAUGAAUAUUUAUAAGAAUAUAUAUGAUGAUGCAUGAUGAACAUAUAUUCAUAUGAACGGAAGAUUUAAUAUUCAAAAUAAUAGUAAGAACGUUACUUAGCUCUGAUACCAAAUUUAAAAUAACAUGAUGACAGAUUAAUUGCUUUCAUACCAAAUUUAAAGCGAUGACGGAAUUAAUAAAGAUUAAGAGAAUAUUAUACCUGAAUAAUGCGGUGGAUUAUCUUGAUGAUGGAUUAUGUUGAAUAAUUGGAUGGUUAUGUGGAUAAUUUGGAUAGAACUCUGCUAUUCAGAAAUAGAACAACUAUUUCAACAGAGAAGACAAUUGAGAUCAACUCAAGUCUUAAACACUCAAACUUAAAUUGUUUAUUUCAUAUGGGCAAAGGCCCGAUUCAUAGGCUCAAGAGAGCCGGUUACAAUUAUUGUUGCAAUCGUUUGAUUGCAAUACGACAUACAUAUUUAUAUUAUAGCCCCCUAGACUAUUGAGGGUUACACACUUUAAGUUUGGCAAUUACAAUUACAUCAAUCUCACCCAUACCUCAAGUAUAUCAAAAGUGCCAACAACCAUAUAGCAGACACACUAACAAGAGAAUGGAAGCCAUCAUAAAGCAACCCAGAUAAGAAGCAACACUAUUCAUGGAAGACUAACACAAGAAUUAAAAAAUAUCUGCUUUUUUGGAGGCGGGAGGAAUCACGCAAGCAAUGCCAUAAAAAGCCAUUAUUGAAGAUUAACGGGAGGAAUAACGUAAGCAAUGACGUAAAAAGCCAUUAUUGAAGACACCUAAUGACGUAAUCAAUGACGUAAAAAGCCAUUAUUGAAGACACCUGUCUUUUCAAUGUGGAAGGGAUUAUUAUAUUUUUAAUUAUGUAAAGUGUUGGUAGAAUUAUUUGUAUUGUCGGUAGGANAAUUAUUAAGUGUCGGUUGUAUUAUUUGUGAUGUAACAUAAAGUGUGAAACCCUCAAUAGUCUAGGGGGCUAUAAUGUAAAUAUGUAUGUCGUAUUGCAAUCAAACGAUUGCAACAAUAAUUGUAACCGGCUCUCUUGAGCCUAUAAAUAGGGUUUUCGCAUAUAUGAAAUAAACAAGUUAAGUU